GAUGAAGAACGUAGCGAAAUGCGAUAUGUAGUGUGAAUUGCAGAAUUCAGUGAAUCAUCGAAUCUUUGAACGCACAUUGCGCCCUUUGGUAUUCCUUAGGGCAUGCCUGUUCGAGCGUCAUUUAAACCUUCAAGCUAAGCUUGGUGUUGGGUGACUGUCCGCUUCACGGCGGACUCGCCUCAAAAUUAUUGGCGGCCGGUACAUUGGCUUCGAGCGCAGCAGAAACGCGAACUCGGGCCCGUCGUAUUGGCUCCCAGAAGCUAUCUUCACAAUUUUGACCUCGGAUCAGGUAGGGAUACCCGCUGAACUUAAGCAUAUCAAUAAGCGGAGGA
RNAcentral lists this unclassified non-coding RNA (332 nucleotides) under soil metagenome. RNAcentral describes it as "partial contains 5.8S ribosomal RNA, internal transcribed spacer 2, and large subunit ribosomal RNA". The stretch from base 1 to 120 matches the Rfam family "5.8S ribosomal RNA", at positions 35 to 154 of the family's 154-position model. The record is from RNAcentral.